GUGGGGAAUUUUGGACAAUGGGGGCAACCCUGAUCCAGCAAUGCCGCGUGCAGGAAGAAGGCCUUCGGGUUGUAAACUGCUUUUGUACGGAACGAAAAGGCUCUGGUUAAUACCUGGGGCACAUGACGGUACCGUAAGAAUAAGCACCGGCUAACUACGUGCCAGCAGCCGCGGUAAUACGUAGGGUGCAAGCGUUAAUCGGAAUUACUGGGCGUAAAGCGUGCGCAGGCGGUGCUGUAAGACAGGCGUGAAAUCCCCGGGCUUAACCUGGGAAUGGCGCUUGUGACUGCAGUGCUGGAGUGUGGCAGAGGGGGAUGGAAUUCCGCGUGUAGCAGUGAAAUGCGUAGAUAUGCGGAGGAACACCGAUGGCGAAGGCAAUCCCCUGGGCCUGCACUGACGCUCAUGCACGAAAGCGUGGGGAGCAAACAGGAUUAGAAACCCGGGUAGUCC
This 450-nucleotide ribosomal RNA is filed under the name uncultured bacterium. RNAcentral's name for it is "partial 16S ribosomal RNA". It matches the Rfam family "Bacterial small subunit ribosomal RNA", at positions 354 to 796 of the family's 1533-position model. The record is from RNAcentral.